AGAGAAAAUAGUACUUAAAGAGAAGCAAGUCUCUUUCAAUUUACCCCUAUAAUCCUCACAUAUAAGCCUUUUAUUCUUGUUACAAUAACAACUCUAGCUAUUCUUAAUAGAUAACAACUUCAGUCAGUUGACCAACUAACAAACUCCAGACUGUUACAACUUGCAAAUUCAAAUGACAUUGCAAGUCUGCUAAUUGUCCUGCCUAAGCAAAACGCCCCAUUUCCUCUUCUAAAACGUAUCAUGGUAAGAUAGCACUUUUACUGGGAAUAGCCCCUUCUCUCAUAUU
This 286-nucleotide unclassified non-coding RNA is filed under the name Hevea brasiliensis (rubber tree). Lineage: Eukaryota; Viridiplantae; Streptophyta; Magnoliopsida; Malpighiales; Euphorbiaceae. The record is from RNAcentral.